Molecule: ribosomal RNA, 850 nt
Filed under: Delftia acidovorans
Lineage: Bacteria; Pseudomonadati; Pseudomonadota; Betaproteobacteria; Burkholderiales; Comamonadaceae
Description: bacterial SSU rRNA
Rfam family: Bacterial small subunit ribosomal RNA
Source: RNAcentral
AGAGUUUGAUCAUGGCUCAGAUUGAACGCUGGCGGCAUGCCUUACACAUGCAAGUCGAACGGUAACAGGUCUUCGGACGCUGACGAGUGGCGAACGGGUGAGUAAUACAUCGGAACGUGCCCAGUCGUGGGGGAUAACUACUCGAAAGAGUAGCUAAUACCGCAUACGAUCUGAGGAUGAAAGCGGGGGACCUUCGGGCCUCGCGCGAUUGGAGCGGCCGAUGGCAGAUUAGGUAGUUGGUGGGAUAAAAGCUUACCAAGCCGACGAUCUGUAGCUGGUCUGAGAGGACGACCAGCCACACUGGGACUGAGACACGGCCCAGACUCCUACGGGAGGCAGCAGUGGGGAAUUUUGGACAAUGGGCGAAAGCCUGAUCCAGCAAUGCCGCGUGCAGGAUGAAGGCCUUCGGGUUGUAAACUGCUUUUGUACGGAACGAAAAAGCUUCUCCUAAUACGAGAGGCCCAUGACGGUACCGUAAGAAUAAGCACCGGCUAACUACGUGCCAGCAGCCGCGGUAAUACGUAGGGUGCGAGCGUUAAUCGNAAUUACUGGGCGUAAAGCGUGCGCAGGCGGUUAUGUAAGACAGAUGUGAAAUCCCCGGGCUCAACCUGGNAACUGCAUUUGUGACUGCAUGGCUAGAGUACGGUAGAGGGGGAUGGAAUUCCGCGUGUAGCAGUGAAAUGCGUAGAUAUGCGNAGGAACACCGAUGGCGAAGGCAAUCCCCUGGNCCUGUACUGACGCUCAUGCACGAAAGCGUGGGGAGCAAACAGGANUAGAUACCCUGNAGUCCACGCCCUAAACGANGUCAACUGGUUGUUGGGAAUUAGUUUUCUCAGUAACGAANCUAACG